UGCAAUUGGUAAUGGUAUACAGCAAAGCUGCCUAGUGUCCACUGCCUACCCUUAUAUGCUCAUGAAAACAACCAAAAAUGAAAAAUGUAAAAAAGAGCGGUGUUGUUCACGUUUUCAAUUAUAAAAAUUAAAAACACACAGUGGGUAUAUGGUUUUUUUUUCAAAAAACAAGAAAAAAAUGCGGUGACCGAGGCCUCAAAUGAAAGGAAUUUCAGAGUUAUUUAGGCCGUCCAGGAAGGGAAGGUCAGACGAAAAAAAAGAAUCUGAUUUAGUUCUUCCUGAGGGAUUAUGUCGUCGAUUUUCGCUAGCUGAGAUCAAGACAGCUACCAAUAACUUCGAUGAAUACUUCAUAAUUGGUCAGGGGGAUUAUGGGAUGGUAUACAAGGGGUUUAUCGAUGACCCUACUACAAUAAGCGUUGCAAUAAAGCGUGUGAAUAUCGAUUCAAGGGCGGGUUUUCACGAGUUAAAGACUGAGUUGUUGUUGCUAUGCCCAGCUACGCCACUCUAACCUCGUCCCUCUCAUUGGAUAUUGUCUUGAUCAUCAACAUUUGAUCCUAGUCUACCAGUUCAUCUUCAAUGGAAACCUCGGCGACCACCUCUACGUCACUAACCACGAUAAUCCCCUCCCAUAGAAACAAAGACUCCGGAUUUCCAUUGGAGUGGCGCGUGUUCUGCAUUACCUUCACACUGGGCUGAAGCAUACUAUCAUCCACCGUAACGUGAAGCCGAGCAACAUUCUGUUGGACGAAAAAUGGGAGCCCAAGUUGGCAGAUUUUGUGUCGUACAAGAUGGGUCCGCCGAGUUUGUCAAAGGCUUUGAUUAGGGUGGAUUCUAGUGCCUACAUUGGAGUGAGUAGUACUUUAGAACACUUGGAUCCUGAGUAUUUCGUAUGCGGGGAGAUGAUUGAUAAAUCCGACGUCUAUUCUUUUGGGUUGGUACUGCUGCAACUACUCGGUGGCAGAAAAACAUUAGGGCAGCGGCAUCUUCUUGAGUGGGUCAGAAAAUGCAAACGAGAAGGGACCAUCAAUGAAAUAGUUGAUCCGUAUCUGAUGGGGAAGAUAGCUCCAGAGUGUUUCAAGAAAUACGUCGACAUUGCCACUUCUUGUGUGCAAAAUAAGGGAAAGAAUCGUCCCACGAUUGGUGAGGUGGAGGUAAUCCUUGAACACGCACUGGAGCUACAAGAGAGUGCUGAUGCUGCUAGGAAGGAUGUGGAUCCUGGUGGUGAUCAUUAUAACUAUCCCAUUGUUGAAUAUACCUGUAGUGCUUCUCCCCGAGUCUGAGCCAGAGGAAUCUGUUUCAGAUUCAGAUAUCACUGCCACGAUAUGGGAAAAUUUUUAAGGAGCAUGAAAUCAAGGAUUUUGACUACCUAUCCAGUUGCAUUUCCAGCGGAUUCAACUGAAGAAGUAGUUGACAGGAGACCGGACCUUGAAAUGCCUAACAUUAGUCAAGCUGUUCACAAAUUGCAACAUGUAUCAUGGGUACCACUUGGUAAACACAAUGUAGGUAAAGAAUCUUCCCCCGCCCUCCCCCCCCCCCCCCCCCCCCCCCCCUCACCCAAAAACCCCCCUUCGGUUUAUAAUUUGUGCUCUAUGGACAUAUAUAUCAUUUACUAUUUUCAUCGAUCA
Quercus robur (English oak) is the source of this 1625-nucleotide long non-coding RNA. RefSeq lists it as uncharacterized. The transcript is spliced from 2 exons. Lineage: Eukaryota; Viridiplantae; Streptophyta; Magnoliopsida; Fagales; Fagaceae. The record is from RefSeq and is a predicted model, not a curated record.